GCCUGGGUGGCUCAGUCGGUUAAGCAUCUGACUUGAGCUCAGGUCAUGAUCUUAGAGUUAGUGAGUUCAAGUCUCACAUCAGGCA
RNAcentral lists this transfer RNA (85 nucleotides) under Felis catus (domestic cat). It matches the Rfam family "tRNA". Rfam says of the family: Transfer RNA (tRNA) molecules are approximately 80 nucleotides in length. Their secondary structure includes four short double-helical elements and three loops (D, anti-codon, and T loops). The record is from Rfam by way of RNAcentral. RNAcentral also lists the same sequence under 2 other names. Lineage: Eukaryota; Metazoa; Chordata; Mammalia; Carnivora; Felidae.